RNAcentral lists this transfer RNA (95 nucleotides) under Scedosporium apiospermum. It matches the Rfam family "tRNA". From Rfam's summary of the family: Transfer RNA (tRNA) molecules are approximately 80 nucleotides in length. Their secondary structure includes four short double-helical elements and three loops (D, anti-codon, and T loops). Further hydrogen bonds mediate the characteristic L-shaped molecular structure. tRNAs have two regions of fundamental functional importance: the anti-codon, which is responsible for specific mRNA codon recognition, and the 3' end, to which the tRNAs corresponding amino acid is attached (by aminoacyl-tRNA synthetases). tRNAs cope with the degeneracy of the genetic code in two manners: having more than one tRNA (with a specific anti-codon) for a particular amino acid; and 'wobble' base-pairing, i.e. permitting non-standard base-pairing at the 3rd anti-codon position. Lineage: Eukaryota; Fungi; Ascomycota; Sordariomycetes; Microascales; Microascaceae. The record is from Rfam by way of RNAcentral.
GGUCGGUUAGCUCAGUUGGUUAGAGCGUGGUACUAAUAAGCUAUCCAGCUUAUCGGUAAAUGCCAAGGUCAUGAGUUCGACCCUCAUACUGACCA